GACAGAGGGUGCAAACGUUGUUCGGAAUUACUGGGCGUAAAGCGAGUGUAGGCGGUUUGGAUAGUCGGAUGUGAAAGCCCCGGGCUCAACCCGGGAAGUGCAUUCGAUACUCCCAAGCUAGAGUAUCGGAGAGGUUGGUGGAAUUCUCGGUGUAGAGGCGAAAUUCGUAGAUAUCGAGAGGAACACCGGUGGCGAAGGCGGCCAACUGGACGAAUACUGACGCUGAGACUCGAAAGCGUGGGGAGCAAACAGG
This 253-nucleotide ribosomal RNA is filed under the name uncultured bacterium. Its description in RNAcentral is "partial 16S ribosomal RNA". It matches the Rfam family "Bacterial small subunit ribosomal RNA", at positions 524 to 776 of the family's 1533-position model. The record is from RNAcentral.